GAAAUUUGAAAAACGAACUGCGAAACCGGUUCUUGUGAGUCCCACUCAGUCAAGUCUAUGACUACACUCGAUGAGGGUCACCAAUCCUCACCUGGCUUCAAGCAAGAGAAUAUUUUCCCAAGUUCUUCCAACAUGAACAGCACAAUGGUUGGAUAUGUUUUCUGGUGGAACACUGCAAACAAACGACUCUGUUUGUGUGACGUGACAUUUGUUUAUAAUUUGCAGCAGAUGUCAAGACAAGGAGACAUGAGCAGAUAUAUGCACACACACACACACACACACACACACACAUAAAUGCAUACACAUACAAGUACAAAUGUAGAUAUGCAUACAUGAAUAUACACCCACAUGUAUAUACCAUAGACUUUAUCAGUUCCUGGUACGAAACCCACUCACAAGGCUUGAGUCAACCUGGAACAUUAGAAGAAGUUAAUUCUUUAAGGUGCUGCAAAGUGGGACUGAACCUGAAACCACAAGAUUGCAAAGUGAAUUCCUUAACCUUACAGCCAUGCCCCCAUCUUUUUUUGGUGAUAUUUUGAAGAUAAUAAUAAUAAUAAU
RNAcentral lists this long non-coding RNA (558 nucleotides) under Octopus sinensis (East Asian common octopus). RNAcentral's name for it is "uncharacterized LOC118761865, transcript variant X2". The record is from RNAcentral. Lineage: Eukaryota; Metazoa; Mollusca; Cephalopoda; Octopoda; Octopodidae.